GAGGGUGGCUAUAGCGGUGGGGAUCACCUCUUCCCAUUCCGAACAGAGAAGUUAAGCCCACCAGCGCAGAUGGUACUGGCCCACAAGCCGGGAGAGUAUGUCGCUGCCCUCCUUAUAAUUUGUAAAAACCCCGGUUCGUGCCGGGGUUUUUUGUUUA
RNAcentral lists this ribosomal RNA (157 nucleotides) under Schleiferia thermophila. The record is from RNAcentral. Lineage: Bacteria; Pseudomonadati; Bacteroidota; Flavobacteriia; Flavobacteriales; Schleiferiaceae.